Molecule: long non-coding RNA, 1945 nt
Filed under: Salvia miltiorrhiza (redroot sage)
Lineage: Eukaryota; Viridiplantae; Streptophyta; Magnoliopsida; Lamiales; Lamiaceae
Description: long non-coding RNA (SMIL_LNC005016)
Source: RNAcentral
UAACUUUUAUAAUUAUAAGAAUUCUCUAGAGGGUUAAACAUUCAUUCUUAUCUCUCUCUCUCUCGUCAGUUUCACUCCAGCAAUUAGAGGUAAGAUUUUCUUCAUUCAUUCUCUUGUUUCAAGUAUCUUCUUUGUUGGGAUUUUGGUUAGGGUUGUUGAUAUUUUGCUUUGUGUUGUGCGUAUGUGUGUGGGUGGGUGAGUCUGUACGGCCGUCACUUUCCGGCGGAUUUCCGGCAAGCUCCGGCAACUAAAACAUAGGAAGAUAGGUACCAUUGGAAAGCUCUCGUCGAUACCUUUCCAACGGUACCUUCGGAUUGUCAAUCCGACAUCGGACGAGGGAGUUAUGAGCCUGCAAAGUCAGGGUACCAAAUCUGUGCGCGGGAUUCCGACGGGAAAUCCAGCGCGACCUUGUUGUAGUGUUUUCUAUGUCUAUUUGAAGUCAAAACAUGAAGCAAUAUGAGGGGUUUUGAAGCCUAUGGUCUGGGCUACAACUUGACGUCUUCAAUUUUGUUUUUGAGUGUUCAAUGAAGGAGAAAUAGAGUCAUAAAAUCGGCUUGACGAAGCAAGGGUUUCGCCAUUGCUAAAAUUGAAAUUUUGACAUCACAUCGAUGCCAGAUUUAGGAUCAGACUUUGGGUUUUUAUUUGAGUUAACCUUGUCUUGAUUUCAAUCUGUUUAAGGAAUUUUGACCUAUUUAAGCUCUAAUUCUUUUAUAAUAGAUUGUAUUGUGAGCUCAUAGAACCUUAUAUAAAUUGUUAGAUCAUUUACAUGCAAUAUUGUGCUAUUAACUUAAAAGAUAGUAGCAUAAAAAUUGGAUUAAUUGGAGAUAUUACUAUAUCAUAAACAUAGUUUGAUUGCAUAACUGAAUUGAAUGUUUCAAAUGAGCUCUUAUUGAGUUUAAUUUUGUAAAUAUGCCUUAAGCUUCUAGAAUAUUACAAGGAAAUUAUCUAAACUCUAGAGUUAAUACAUGAAAAGUUCAUCACUAAGCUAAAGUAUUCUUAAGUGCCAGGAGCGGCGCAAUCAAGGCUCAAGGACGGACAACCAUACAAAAUUUGAAGAGGUUCUUUCGAAUUACAUCUUUUGAGGUGGGGUUUACUUUAAUCUGUAAGCCUAAUGGUCACAUUGUUAUAAUCAUUGUUGUGUUGUGCAUCAUGCAUAUGAGCUAAUAUGGCCCACAAGGGGUUAGAUCCACAAGGGAUCAAAUAAGUUGAUUUACCCACAAGGGGUCAGGUCCACAAGGGACUGAGACUAGUCUCAUGAAAUCGGCUAAGUUAAAGAAGUUCAUUAUGUUUGCUGCAUCACACAAUUGUUUAUAACAGCUUGCAGCGUUUAACUCACUGAGUGUGCUAGCAUACUCACGCCCUACUUUUAAUGUUACUUUCAGGUUAAGGAGUCGACGAGCAAGGCAAGCACGGAUGAGCUCAUAUUCUCCUACUUAUACUAUUUUGUGUAAAUUAUAAUAUUUUGCUUUAUGUACUACUGGAAGAGUUUGUGGUGGGCUGUGACCCAAUGAUCUAGUAUUUGAAUAUGCGAGUAGUUGAGGGUUGUGACCCAAUGGUGACUAAUGGGCCGUGAUCCAAUAGUUGAUGUUUAUAUAUGUGCUAUGCUUUGUGUUAAAUGGCUACUUAGGCAUGCCUAUAUUUUGUUUGAAAUAUAUAUAUAGAGAAAGAGUUUUGUCUAGUUUUAAUUAUUCAAUGGCUUGAUCUGCUUUAAUACAGAUAAAUAUUUAUUAGAAAUAAGAUUUUGUAAUGUUGCUCAUUUUAAAAUUGUGAGAGCGUUACAUUUUGGUAUCAGAGCAGGUCUACGUUCCUGUAGACUUGCGAAUUAUUUUUUUUCUGAAAUAAAAUUUUGUUGAAAUCGAAUUAAAAAAAAAUUGUGUUUGAUAUUUUGGUAUUUCAUUUCUUUGGGGGAAUUGUAGUUCAUCAUUGCUGCCCUACGUCGACUCCG